Stylophora pistillata is the source of this 2482-nucleotide long non-coding RNA. RefSeq lists it as uncharacterized. The record is from RefSeq and is a predicted model, not a curated record. Lineage: Eukaryota; Metazoa; Cnidaria; Anthozoa; Scleractinia; Pocilloporidae.
AUGUUCCCACGCGCUUAAUUUUUUGAAGAUACCUAUAUCAGACUUAUCUAAGCAAUUGAUAAUAGAAACCGGAGAAGACGUGUAUCUACGUUUGUAACAACGAUCCAGGAAGCAUUGUAUGGUAGUAAGUUCUGGUGGAGAUGAACCAUAUACUGAUAUUCUGUACGUAAGUUUAGGCAGAACCAGAGCGCUGAAUAAUUUGUCCAACUCUGCCUGACAAUAACCCUCCCUACUAAGAGUUCUAAGAAUAUAGAGGCAUUUAUUAGCUGCGGCCAACUUAUUCUUGAUGUGAAUAGAGAACCUACAAUUUCUUGAAAUGUAACCCCCAAAAUACAUAGAUGUGAUUGUUGGGGGAUAUUCUGUACUGUGUCUAAUACAUUCUUGUAGCCCUUCUUUCAGAAAACCAGUUCUUUACAUUUAGAGAUAUUACACUUCAUGGAAUUAUCGAUAGACCAUUCUGUAAAGUUAUUAACUACAUGAGCAGCAGUAUUACUAUCACUAUCACCCUUCCAAACUGGAAUAAUUAGAGUGGAGUCAUCUGCAUACUGCAUACUAGUCAUCUUCAAAUUUGGAACAAUAAACAUUUGGCCUUCACAGCGAGUUGUUAGGGAAACAAUGCCAGAACCAUUUAAGGAGAAAUUUCCCUCUACAAGAGUUAUAAUUGACUGUACGGAGGUUAAGUGUGGAAUGCCCAGUAGUCUUCUUUUAAAUUCAGAGCUUUUCAGUUCUUACAAGAAUAAUACUGCACUUAAAGACUCUCUGUCAACUGGCAUACAUUGUGCGCAUUUGUUAUUGUUUUGAUGAACUCUGAGUCCGACGUACAGGUCAAUCCAAGAUGGCGGCCUAAACUAGGGACACGGCAAAUAGCUUAGUUGAGGCAGAUUUAUUGGGACAAGAGGGCCCGGGACCACGGGUAAAAAAUUAUGGGAGUGUGGUAAGUGAAUUUUUUUCUUUUAGAUGAUCUCAAAGCCUCAACAUGCUUUCAUAGCUAGUUUAUCGUCGUGAUCGAAGAACUUACCUUCACGCACACAGCUUUUUUCAUUUAGAUUGCAGAUCUUGAACCAGAAUAAGUUAAGCCUGAAGGCGAAGCAGAGUCAAAUAGGACUUACUGUAAAUGCAAUUGUGCGUGCAAGACCAAGAGAAACUGUGGUUGUCCAUGUGGUACAAGCAAUUUAUCAUGUGUCGCAGGACAAUGCAAAUGUGGGACGUUGCAAAAACCAUGUGCGAACAUGAAUCUUCAAAUAGUAGCACCUGGGAGCUUGCUACAGAAUUCAAAGGAAAGGCAAAGACGAGAUAUAGAAAACGCAAGGGAGGAAAUCGAGACGACUUAAGAGAGGGACAGCAGAGACGAUUGCUCAUAUGAUAAACAACGGGCGAUUUCGUGAGAAGGCUUCUACCUGAUGACAACGACGAUGACCUGCAACCAGGCCCAGUAAAGAAUGCAGUUCCAAGAAUCCUGGAUCUGAGCAUGCAUCUAAUGGAGACACUGAGAAUUUAGAUGCUGGGCACUUUAUCUCCACUAGACCACAUUGUUUAGUACAUUUAUUGUCAAUGACCAAACCAUCAGGUGAAGCUCACAAUCAAGGCACCUCUAAACAAACUAUGAAACCAGACUUGAAUACUUUAAGGGGUUGCCUAAUAGAAAACAUGUACUUCUGAUACUCCAACAAUGCUAUUGGCUCUUAUUUAUUACCAUGAGCUGUGUAUCUUGAUGAAAAUGGCUUAGGAUCAAUCAAGGCAUUUACAAGGGAGUCAUGAUUCCUUUGUCGUUUUGGCACUCAUCCAAAGUUAGAAGCAGUUAUCCUAAACAUUCUCUCCUCUUUCCAUUCAUCAGAUUUCGAUUGCAUUUUAGUUUUUUGUUCAAUUUUACUGAGCCUUUUUUUUUCGUCAAUGGUUAGAUGAUCUAACAGAUUUUGUUCAGACUCUGCAUCACUUGAGUAGUUGGAUUCAAUCUUGCCACCACAGGGAAACUGAGGAAACUCAUCUAAUGGAAUCUGUCUCAUGUGCAGUUCUUGUAACAGCGUCAAUGUUACAAAAGACUUGGAAAUUUGCUUCUGUAACCUGAAGUUGAUAACUGUCAUAUGACCCUAUUGGGCUUCUGCCGGACUUUGUAUCCACAUGUUCAGUGCUUUCGCUAGAGGGAGUCAUGAUUUGAGCUAAUGCUAUAUUAGGAUUUAUUUCUCUCAUUUUUUGUUGAAGUGUUAUCUCCCAUUCUCUCCGCAAAGCAACUGAGUUUCUGGCUUCGUAUGGUAGACAGUGUAUACCAGGUUCUUUAGCAGAGUUUUGUACUUCAUCAAGGUUUGUUUUUGUUACUGAUAGCACCAUAACAGGCUGGGGUUUUAUACUUUCUUGUCUGCCUCUAUGAUGCCAUAUUUGUAGUGAUGACGUGCAAGCCCUUUUCAGUGUCAUGUCAUCUUUAUCAUCUAGGUCUGAAGUAUCUUUACAUUCAUAAAGACUGAACUUGCAUACUUUAAACAUUAAA